CGUCUCGCUCCGGGGUGUGCCACGUGAUCAAUCACGCAGGCGCUGAGAUGGUGAGAAACCGAACCCGUUGAACUUGAUCCGGUUCAUACCGGCGAAAGAAGAGCUGUCCCGUCUGGC
RNAcentral lists this non-coding RNA (117 nucleotides) under Burkholderiales bacterium. RNAcentral describes it as "TPP sequence". It matches the Rfam family "TPP riboswitch aptamer (THI element)". From Rfam's summary of the family: Vitamin B(1) in its active form thiamin pyrophosphate (TPP) is an essential coenzyme that is synthesised by coupling of pyrimidine and thiazole moieties in bacteria. The record is from RNAcentral. Lineage: Bacteria; Pseudomonadati; Pseudomonadota; Betaproteobacteria; Burkholderiales.